ACCUGGCUGGCUUAGUCAGUAGAGCAUGUGACUCUUGAUCUCAGGGUUAUGUGUUCGAGUCCCAUGUUAGGUG
Molecule: transfer RNA, 73 nt
Filed under: Mustela putorius furo (domestic ferret)
Lineage: Eukaryota; Metazoa; Chordata; Mammalia; Carnivora; Mustelidae
Description: tRNA-Lys (CTT) (tRNA-Lys-CTT-28-1)
Rfam family: tRNA
About the family: Transfer RNA (tRNA) molecules are approximately 80 nucleotides in length. Their secondary structure includes four short double-helical elements and three loops (D, anti-codon, and T loops).
Source: Rfam by way of RNAcentral